CGGCCGCGGCGUUUCCAUGACGACGACGUCGGGGGCCCCCGGGUGGGGUCCGCUCGGGCGCAUGCGCGCGCGUGCGGGUCGCGGUCCGUCUUUCCCGAGUCGCCCGCGCUGCUGUUCGCGGUUCUGUGGACCGCGGGCGGCCUGGGCUCCCUCUGCCAUGGCCCCCGCGCCCAGGUCCUUGCUGUCGCCGCCGAUUUUGCUGCUGCUGCUGCUGCUGAGCCUGGCGCUGCUAGGCGCCCGCGCUGAACCCGCCGCCGGGAGCGCUGUCCCCGCGCAAAGCCGUCCGUGCGUGGACUGUCACGCAUUUGAAUUCAUGCAGCGCGCCCUUCAGGACCUACGGAAAACCGCCUACAGCCUGGACGCACGGACGGAGACCCUCCUGCUGCAGGCUGAGCGCCGGGCUCUGUGUGCCUGCUGGCCAGCUGGACGCUGAAGAUCAUUGGCCAGUGAUGUUCCCUGUCAAUAAAUGCCUGCUAGC
This 478-nucleotide long non-coding RNA is filed under the name Rattus norvegicus (Norway rat). RNAcentral describes it as "long non-coding RNA NONRATT010049". The record is from RNAcentral. Lineage: Eukaryota; Metazoa; Chordata; Mammalia; Rodentia; Muridae.